RNAcentral lists this ribosomal RNA (362 nucleotides) under Deltaproteobacteria bacterium. RNAcentral describes it as "partial 23S ribosomal RNA". It matches the Rfam family "Bacterial large subunit ribosomal RNA", at positions 2552 to 2925 of the family's 2925-position model. The record is from RNAcentral. Lineage: Bacteria; Pseudomonadati; Myxococcota; Myxococcia.
GCUGGAGCAGGUCCCAAGGGUUUAGCUGUUCGCUAAUUAAAGCGGUACGCGAGCUGGGUUCAGAACGUCGUGAGACAGUUUGGUCCCUAUCUGUCGCGGGCGGAAGAUACUUGAGAGGAUCUGACCCCAGUACGAGAGGACCGGGUUGGACGUACCUCUGGUGUACCGGUCGUCACGCCAGUGGCGCUGCCGGGUAGCUAUGUACGGAAGGGAUAACCGCUGAAAGCAUCUAAGUGGGAAACCCGCCUCAAGAUGAGGUAUCUGGCGCAAGCCAUUAAGACCCCUCGAAGACUACGAGGUUGAUAGGCUGCAGGUGCAACGCAAGGAGCCGAGCAGUACUAAUCGGUCGACCGCGUGUCAUC